Long non-coding RNA from Lagopus leucura (white-tailed ptarmigan), 411 nucleotides. RefSeq lists it as uncharacterized. Lineage: Eukaryota; Metazoa; Chordata; Aves; Galliformes; Phasianidae. The transcript has 3 exons. The record is from RefSeq and is a predicted model, not a curated record.
CUCACUUUUUUUUCUUCCUCCCCCCCCCCAGGUUCCCCCCUCCCGAAAUGGCUCCUCUCAGACCCCUGCGGGACGCCCGCGCUCGCCCAGCUGAGCGCUCCUUCAGCUCCCGAUGGCCGCCGCAUGCUGGAGGUGCGUCCGACCCCAAGGCCGCCCCGGUGUCCGUCUGUCCGUCCCUCCCCCAUGGCACCGUGUCCGUCUGUCCGUCCCACCCCAUAGCAUCGUGUCCCCAGUCCCUCUGUCCCCUCCCCCCCUCAUUGCAUUCUGACUCCGACGUCCUUCUGUCCCUUCUUCGUGCCAUUGUGUCCUUCUGUCCAUCCCCCCCCAUGCCCUCAUGUCCCCCCUGUCCGUCUGUCUGUCCCCCACCCCAUGCCAUUGUGUCUGUCUGUCUGUCCCCCACCCCAUGCCAUC